UUGUCUUGAGGGUUAAGCCAUGCACGCCUAUGCUCACCCUGCACAGAAGGGGAAGCCGCGAACUGCUCAGUAUAUCGGCGACAAUACACGGGGUGGGCGAUGCUAGUCCGGACACCUGUAGGAAUCCCAGAGCUAAUACGUGCACACGAGUCCUCCUCCCAACGGGGUUCGCCCCCGCGGGGAGAGGGCGCAUUUAUUAGGAUCUCGACCGGCGGUGGGUGGUUAACGCCGCCCACCAGGCUGAGGCGAACUCUGGGUAUGUGACGACCGCUAUUAGCGGCGUGCCCGUUUGCUCGCCGUCCCAUCAAAUUUAGACGGCCCGGGCAAGAGCCCCCCGUGUUGGCUACGGGUGACGGAGGAUCAGGGUUCGAUCCCGGAGAGGGAGCCUGCGAGACGGCUACCACGCUUAAGGGUGGCAGCAGGCGCGCAACUUACCCACUCCCAGCACGGUGAGGUAGUGAAGAUAAAUGUCGGGGCUGGGCUCGCUUGCGAGCCUAGCGGUCGGAUUGAGCGUAGACCAAACACGUGCCGUUGAUGACCUAUCGGAGGGCAAGUCUGGUGCCAGCAGCCGCGGUAAUUCCAGCUCCGAUGGCGUAUGUUGUAGUUGCUGCGUUUAAAACGCUCGUAGUUGGAUCUCUGAGGUGACGGCGGCGACACACCGCGGGUGGCGUUGUCCCGGCGAUUAUGCACCGCCGUGGUUUUGGGGAUGGAGCAAGCGGCGGUCGCGCGUCCUUUCCCGUUCCCCUCCGGGGGUGGCGGUGGGGGGGCCGUGGUCGUUCGCGACCGGACCCUCGCGGCGGAUCUCGCCGGGCAUCGCUCGCCCGUCGCUACCGGUUUAGUCUCUUUCCGUCUUAAGCCGCGUCGGCCCGGUACGUGGCGUAUCCGGGGCCGGCGCUCAGGUACGGGCGGUGUUCUCCCUGAAUCAAUUGGAGUGCUCAAAGCAGGUCGUGCUCGCACAGCUUUGCUCGGAACGAUGUGAUGACGCCACCGUCCCGUAAUGUUUUAAUCACGGGCCCGGUCCCCGUGGGGACGGUGGGCGAGGUCUAUAGAGACGGCCGGGGGGCGGCGUACUACCGCGGGAGGGGUGGAAUCCGACGAUCGCGGUGGGACGAACAAGAGCGAAGGCACCGGCCAAGAGCGCCUUCGUUGAUCAUGAACGAAAGUCGGAGGAACGAACGCGAUCAGGUACCGCGGUAGUUCCGACAGUAAACCAUGCCGACCGGUUACGCGGGGACGUCCCCAGUGGGGAAGCCUCGCGAGGCCCCGGAGAAAUCAGAGUGCCUGGGCUCCGGGGGGAGUACGGUCGCAAGGCUGAAACUUAAAGGAAUUGACGGAAGGGCACCACCAGGAGUGG
RNAcentral lists this ribosomal RNA (1354 nucleotides) under Phidiana lottini. RNAcentral's name for it is "SSU rRNA". It matches the Rfam family "Eukaryotic small subunit ribosomal RNA", at positions 32 to 1179 of the family's 1831-position model. Lineage: Eukaryota; Metazoa; Mollusca; Gastropoda; Nudibranchia; Glaucidae. The record is from RNAcentral.